This is an RNA transcript of Chelonia mydas (Green sea turtle), 20028 nucleotides long. It is a transcript of the gene named centrosomal protein 164, with no coding region annotated. The transcript has 36 exons. The record is from RefSeq and is a predicted model, not a curated record. Lineage: Eukaryota; Metazoa; Chordata; Testudines; Cheloniidae.
UAGGCUUAGACCAAGCCCGGAAGUAGCUGCUGGCCCGUGCAGGGCAACCCCCAGGCGUCCAUGGAAGCGGAGGGUGGGGAGCCCAGGCCGGGGGCCGCCUCCCCCCUCUGGUGCUGCCCGUAGGGAGCGGGGGGUGGCCCCGGCUGGGGAGGUGCUGGGGCCCCGUGGAAGGUGCAGUCAGUGUGUCCCCUUAUGAAUGGACAUGGCAGGACCUGCUAUACGCAUUGGGGAUCAGCUCAUCCUAGAAGAAGAUUAUGAUGAAACGUACAUACCCAGUGAGCAAGAAAUUCAGGAGUUUGCCAGGGAGAUAGGGAUUGACCCUGAGAAUGAGCCGGAGCUGAUGUGGCUGGCCAGAGAAGGCAUUGUGGCUCCUUUACCUCCAGAGUGGAAACCAUGUCAAGAUAUCACUGGCGACAUCUAUUACUUUAACUUUUCUAAUGGCCAGUCCACGUGGGACCACCCUUGUGAUGAACAUUACAGAGAACUUGUGAUCCAGGAGCGGGAGAAGCUUUCGGCUCAUGGCAGCGUUAAAAAGAAAGACAAGAAGAAGAAAAAAGACAAGAAGGAGAGGAAAGACAAGAAGGAGAGAGAGCCAAUGAAACAUGCUGUGGAAAUGCAGCCAGAGCCAGGGAUUCUUCCUUCAACAUCCUUUUAUCGAAUGUCCUCUCCCAUCCUGUCCUCUGAGUGUGCAAGUCCUGAUCUAGAUCAGGAUAGCCAGAUUAGGAAUGAGGGCUUUCUUAAGAAAGGUAAAGGAAAGACCUCUGGGAGACCACCAGAGACAAGUGACUCAAACAGACAGUUUGCAGGGACUUCCCCAAAUAAAUUGCAGCCACUUCUGACAGCAAAGUCCAGCAGAACUCACCAGAUCUUAGCUGAUGUGGAGAAAAUUUUAGGAAGGACGCCAUCUUUUAGCAAAUCGGAUGUAGACAACCAGCAGGGCCAAGACAAGACCCCAAAAAUUGGAGACAAGCCUUGUCUUGGUUUUUCUGACUCGGAGUUUGAAGGUUUGGAUGUUGUUAGGACAAAGCCCAUUUCCUACGUGUCAAAGAAAUCGUGUUCACAAGACAUUGAGAAUGGGAGAAGUGUCCUUGAUUCCCCCAAUGUCCUGGAGGACAAAGGUAUGCUCUUUGUUGAGGAAAAGCUGUCUGACGACUGGAAGGAGGAGGAAAUGACAGGAGAGUGUGUCUGUCAGCCUGAUGACUGCUUAUCAGUUAGAGAAAGAUCAACAGGGCCUGGUGGUGAUAAGGAAAGAGACCCGGGUUUAUCACAAGCCAAUGAAAAUGAAGCUUUCUUGACCCCCAGUGCCCCUGACCAUAUUUUUUACAGCAGGAAACGUGAAAUGAUUCUCUUUGAUGCCAGUCUCCCAGAAGACCUGAGUUUGAUUGCGGAAUUUGAUGCUCACUAUCCCCAACGGGAGCUGAGGGCACACAGCACAGCAGUCGAGAGCAGAAGGAAGAGAAAACUUCAGGAUCAUGCAUUGAGUCAAGCCACCAAACUUUGCAAGAGCAAUGAGGCUGUCGGCAAGUGUGAGAUAGAGCGCUCAAAGCGGGCAGAGUUUGUUGAAUCUGAAGGAGCAGGCCUACAAGUAGCCCAGAAAAAAGACAUGUUAGACUGCCACCUGGCAGUCCCUGAAGUGACUGCAGAAACAUUACCCUACACCAUAGGGGUGGAAGUUUGUGCUCAAGCAGGAGCUGAAAUUUCUGCGUCGGAGCCUGUUUCUCUUUGUGCUGGACAGCACGAAGAGAAGGAGAAGGCAAACGGUUUGGGGCCUGAACCUGAUAGCAGUGUUACAAGCAGUUCCGCUGACCAUUUUGUAUCACAGAUUUUGGGAGAGGUUGAUAACUUCUCCUGGGAUCUCCAGAGCUCUCAUGAGUCUGACAGACAGACAGACCUGCUUGCUGCUGCUAAAGGUCCUCUGCCCACUCAUCCUUUCUCAGGAACUCUCCAAACUCAGCCACAAAGCUCAGCCAAUGAAAAGUUGCAGAGUGACUGUAACUCUGAGGAUGAGCAGUUCUAUCAGUAUGUGCAGGAAAACGAUCAAGUGCCUACUCAGGAACAUAGUUGUGUCAGUUUUAACAUGAAACUGAAUAGGUCACGUGAUGCCCCUGAGACGAACAAUGAGGGCAGACAAGAAGAAACAGUAGAAGAACAGCAAAGGACAGAGCCAGUUCCUAGAGGGCUAGAGGCAGAUUUGUUCACAGAAGGUUUACAGGUUUCUCCUGGUUGGCUUUAUCAGACCACCGAGUGCCAGGAAAGCAGCAGGCUCUGUCGGCAGGUGGAAGGAGAGUUGACCCAGAGCGGGAAAGCGACUGAGGAUUGCAGCAAACGGGAGCUUUGUGAAGGAGCAGGCAGUAAUGAGUCUCCAGGUUCCCUGCUAGCACCUGUCCAAGCUCCCCUGGGGAGUCUUGCUCCUUUACGUGGUGUCGUGGAUGGUCCAGCCAGUGCCCUCCGUGGCUCGCUAAGCACCGAUGUGGAGAACUCCGGGGUACCCAGUCUGCUGCUCAGAGAAGGAACUCUGCCUCCACAGACCCUUAAAUCCACCGGCUGCACUAAGAGCUUGCUGGGAUCCAUGCAUGAAGAAAAAGCCUCCUUAAAUCUCCUAGCUCUAGAUGAAGGGGAAAAUGAAGAGGAAGAGAGUGAGAAUCAGAGUCCCCGUGGGACAGCGAGACUGCUCAAAAAUCUGCACAUGGAUGUUAGCGCCCUAGGAGGCGGCUUCGAGUAUGAGGGCAGCUGCAGAGCAGAGGAAGACAAUUGUGGUACUCGGUUAGCCAGUGUUGCAGAACCUGGGCUCCAGCACCUAAGGAGUUCUGAAGAUGAAGCUGGAAGUCUGAGAGAGAAGGAGUCCUUGAAAGUGAAUCACCCUGAAGAAAGUCAAGAGUUUCCCUGGGAUUCUGAUGGUGUGCGCCCUCCAACUCUGGAUGAACUGCUUAACAGAGAUGCUGACAGCAGCCUGUGUGGCCUGAACAAAGAGGAGUCCAAUGGGAAACCCAUGGGGAAUGAACUGUUAGAAAAGGAAGAUACUGAUGUAGAAGAUGUGGUUUCUGUAGCUUACAAACAAUCAGGAACUCCGGGGGAAAGGACAGCGGUGGGGACAGAUGUGGUCAGCAGUCAAGGGCAUCCCGUAGCUGCGUCUCCAGAUGUUAGAGCUGCUGAGACAGAUCAGCUGGAAAGCGUGGCUGUCACCAUUGACACCAUGUCUGUCAAUGAAAAGAUUGUAAAUGGAAUGAGGGAAGAAGCAACUGAUCUGAAAACUGACAGCAAGCUGGACGCUGGGAAAGAGUCCGAGGCCAGUGAGCACAUGAAAGAAUUGCAGGUUUCUGACCGUUCGGAUCAUGAGCUGCUUCGUCUGACGGACUUUGGUUUCCAGAGUCAGAUCUCUGAGCAGGUCCUGGAUAUGGGUAUUCUUUCUGCUGCUCUGGACAGCCCCAAGGUUGAGGCCCAGGGGCUGGGAGAAGAGGAAAAGGACCCAAGCAAAGCCAGUUUAGAAGAAGAGCAAAGCAAAAGAACCAAAGCUGCUGAGAGUGAGAGGGACCAGCGCCCCUUCAGUGCUUGCGAAAUGGCCGAAGAGAAGUGUUUAAGUUUAAAGAACGCCAGCCAGCAAGAUACAGCUGCCCUGGAGCAAAAGGAGGGAUCGCUGGAUAGUCUGACCAAUCCGGAAGAGCCUGCAGCCCCUCACCAGGCACAACUUGGGGAGGAAAUCAAGCAAGUGGUGUCCUUGAACUGGCUUUCCGCAGAAUCCCUGGAGGAAGUAGCCAAGGAGCAGGAGCUGGAGCAAGAAAAAAUGCGUUUACUGCAAGCAAAGGAGGAGAAGGUUCAGCGAUUUCAGGAGGAGUUGAGGCAAGAGGAGGAGGAAGAAGCUCAAGUGCUUCAUCAGCAAAAAGAAAAGUCCCUCCGGUCUCUUAAAGAGGAGCUGGCGAAGGCUUCUGAGGAGGAAGAGCUGCGGAUGAGAGAGGAAGAGGUCGAGAAACUCUCAAAGCUACGAGCCCAAAUCCGCUCAGAGACUGAGACAGAAAAGGAGAAAAUAAGGGCUGAGCAAGAGGCUGCAUUGCAAAAGCUGAGAGAGGAAUGGGAGUCCCUUCAGAAGGUGGAGAGGGAGAGCUUGGAGGAGAGGAAGAAGCGUGUUUUGGAGAUGCUGAAGGUGGAAGUGGAGGAAGCGCAGCAGAGAGAAGCGACAGAGCUGGAACAGGAGAAGGAGCGAGUCCUGAAUGAGUUAAAGGAGAGAUUAGAAAGAGAAAGAAAAGAGGCUGCAGAAGUGCUAGAGAAGCAGUUUGCAGCUGAGCUCCAGGAGCUAAAAUCUACAGCAGAAGAGAAACACCACAAGGUUGUUUCCAGCCUCCGGAAGCAAAUAGCAGAGGCCCAGAGGAGUGAGGAGGCCCAGCUGCACGAGGAAUUGGAGAGAGCAGAGCAAAAAGUGCAGCAAAAAAUGUAUCGAGUAGCAGAGUUUGAGCGAGAGCUCAGUGAGCUCAUGAAAGAGAAACGCCAGGAAGUGGAGAAAGACCAUGACCGGAAAAUGGAGAGGAUGAAAGAGGAGCAUCAGGAAAUCCUGGCGAGGAUUCAGGAUCAGUACGAAGAGGAGGAGAGAAAGCAAAGAGCCAAGAAGCUCGAGGUGCUGAAAGGGGAGCUGGAGCGCCUGAGACAGCUCCAUGAUGGGGAGCUGCGGGCUUUGCAGAAACAGCUGGAUGAGCAGCUCAGUGACUUGCGGCAGAGCCACAAGGCGAAGGAACGAAAAGUCCAGGAGUUGGAAAUGGAACUCGAAAUGCGAGCAAAAGAUGCCAAGGCCAGAUGUGCUCAGCUGAAUCACCAGGAAGAGGCCAUGAGAAAGAAAAGGCAGCAGCUUCUGGAUGAAGAGAAACAAACUGAGCUGCAGAGAAAUGAAGCUGCUUCAGCUGCUCAGCUCCGCCUAGAGGCGUCUAGGAAAGAGCAUGCUGACCUUGUGGAAUCCAUCCACCAGUUGCGCAGGACUCUGGAGGAGCUUCAAGACCAGAAAGCUGAGCUGGAGUCCCAGGUGGAUCUGUUGCAGACCCGAAGCCAAAGGCUGCAGAAACGGAUGAGUGAACUGGAGGCCGCAGUCAAGAGCCAACAGGAGACCCUGAAAGAGCUGGUAGCCGAAGACAGCAUGGCGUCUCCCAGGAGGGAAGCUGAGCUCCACAUCGAGGACCUGAGAGAGACGCUUCGAGCUCACUCCUCCAGAGAGCCUGCUUCCUUAACCUCGCACAGCAAUGAGGAUGGUGACUUCCAGCUUGAUAACGUCAGACACUACAUUUCUGCAGAAGGAGUCUCCAUAAGGAACGCCAAGGAGUUCCUGGUGCGUCAGACUCGCUCCAUGAGGAAAAGGCACGCUGCACUGAAAGCUGCAACACAGCAGUGGCGUCACACCAUGCAGCAGGCACGGGACGCGGUGCAGGAUCCGGGUAGCUCUCAGCUCUUGGAGGACGUGCGCCGGAACUUGGAGGAGGAAUCAGAGCAGCUGGACAAGAUGAAGUCGGCCAUGCGGAAAGGACAGGUGCUGCUGAAGAAGAAGGAAGAGAAGCUGAGCCAACUGGAGUCUUCGCUGCUGGAAGAGCUUUCUGAUGAAGAUACGCUGAAGGGUGCUGCAUGUAAAAAGGUGGUAACCUUUGACCUUAGUGAUUCAGAAGACACAAACAGCCUGAGCAGCACAGAUGUAUCUCAGCACAAAUUUGAUUUGAAACCAGAUGUCCAGUUCCCCCAGCUCGACAAGAUCCAGCACUUGACCAACACUCUGCAGCACAUCACCGCUGAGCUGAACGGGGUCCUUGGCACCUUGGGCUCUCUGAACCAUCAGCAGCCUCCCCUCUUCACUUCUGUGCUGGUGCCGAUGCCUGCUCUGCCCAGUGAUGGAGUUCCUCUUUCCGCGUACACCUCCUUUGCAAGAGUCCAGGCUGCUGGCCCCAUCGUGCCUCCUGCUGGGAUUCCUUUGGUUAACCAGCAGGCAUGGAGUACCGGUUUGAACUCCAGCCUCUCUUCUACGGCUGGUCAGUCAGUAGACAACAUGCUGGCAGAGAAAUGGCGCAAGUAUUUCCCAGGUGGGUUCCCGUCGCUCAGUGGAAGUCCUGCCCCUCUGGACAGCAAUCUAGGUUAUUUACCUGCAGGUUCCACCUUUGCCAUCCUGUGUCUCCUGUGCUGAGCUCACUCCGUGAAGUGCCUUGCGAUCCUUUUGUGAUGAAAGGCCUGCUGGGCUGGGAGGUUGAACAACGGGUUUGAGCAGUCGAGACACCUUAAAAAGUACAGUGUGUGUGUGUGUUUGUGUGUGAGGGAGGGGAAGGGGGAUGGGAUGGGAUGAUCAGGGCAGCCAGAGCAGAAGUCUGAUGGAGUGUUACCCUAGGCUGUCCUCUCUCCUUGAGGCAAGUCAAAUAAUAAUACCCUAGGCUGUCUGCCUCUCCCUGGAUAGCUUCAGUCUCCCGAGGGGCUAUGUCCAGCACCCAUCACUCUAGUAUCGAAGUGCUUUGGAAGUAUGCUUUCCGGGCUGUUUUCUCUGACCUCGUGUUAAGGAGAGUGAUGCUGAGUUCCAUCUGGGGAAGUAAAUGGUUCCUUUAUUCCCGUGACCGCUUGUGGCCUGCUGGUUCCAUGGGGUUGUAGGGGCCCCUUAUCUGGGUUUCUUUCAGCUCUGGUGCUUAUUGCUGGCUCAGUAAGAGGCUCCGUGCCCUGCUUUGGCAGAGGACUCCCUCACCCCAGCUGUUGCUAACUACAUUUGAAAAAUCAAUUAAAAGCCUGAUUAAAUGCCAGUGUCUUGCAGUCUACACUGGGGUUCGCCCCCGUCCAGCUCAGGUGGGGUCUUGGGGCACUGGGCAGAGAGCACCCUGCCAGCUAUUCAGGUACAUCUUGGUCUGAUACACGUCCCUUUGUCAUGGCAAUAAUCGAAGCAGUCAGGUCACUCCUCCCCGCAGCCCUGCCAGCAGCUUUGGCCAUGCAGGGAGCAUUGCAAAGCCCUGAAAAAUCCCCGUCCCUAAUGGAAAAGCAGAUGGUUCCUGGGUGCUAGAGGCAUUGCUGUGCUACUGUAAUCCCACAAGCCACCGACCAGUGCCUGCCUUUGCCACAUCCCUGUUUCUUUAAAUCCUCACUCGGUGGGCCCAUUCAUUUCUUGAAGGGGAUGGGUGAAGAGGCUCUGCACUGGUGCCGUAUGUGCUGGACAAGCCCCGGCAAUUAGACGAGCAAAAGGACAGCAAACAAUUACUCUGGCAGGAGGAGAACGAGCGCUAAGCUCAUUAAGGGGUUGGGAGGUCAUCUGCCCUGUUGCAGCCGGAGAAGGGGACAUUUCAGUUGCUGGUGACAUUGUGACAAUCGGGACUCUGUCUCGGGAGAUUUUUCUGUUUCCCUUAGGUGGGGGGAGCCCAUUGUAGAGUCUGACCAUGCUGGCCACGCUGAUGACUGCGCUGUUUUUCAUGGUGAGAGCGUUUGGACAGCUCAGAACCAGCCUGUUCCAUGAGGAGCCGCUGCCCUAUCUCGUGUACCAGCCCCUGCCGUGGCAGGUCCAGUAUGUGACCCAGAGCCGCCGGGACAGUGGGAAAGGUGGGAGCUCUCGGCGCGGCAGCAUCUACUCGCGGAAAGGUAACGUGAUUCCUGAUUCGAGCAGCAAGAGCCAGUGCUUGUGUGACCCGACCGAGCGGGCUGCCGUCACGAUCCAGACUCACUACAGGAAAUACCAGCAGCACAAGCAUGAGAAGAAAUAGACGUGGCCGGGAUCCCUUUCUUAUGUGUUGGGUUGGUUUUCCUGGGGAACAAGAAGUUUUUCCGUCACUGUUGUGGUGGCUCCCUGAAUCCACACUCGCCUGCUGUCUGCUCCCUUCUUCGUAGUGCUCCCUGUGUGCAGAGAUUUAGAGACAUGUCCAUGUUUGUCAGGGUGUCUACGCCGGCCCUCAGUUGCAAGCCUUGUGGCAAGCCCAUCCCCGCAUGCCAUAGCCCCUGCCGGGGGUCUGGGCAGGGCGCAGGGAGAGCAAGUGUUUGACUGGGUGGGAACUGGAGUCCAGAGACUGACAUGGAGCCCAGCUUUGAGACCCGCAGGCCCAAAUCUCAGAUUUGUGGGUGCUAACUGGGGCUCCAGCACCCUCACGCCACCUUCAGUGCUGGAGUGUCCGAGUGCCCAUCGGUUGGAUGUACGUUUUUGCACACGGCUCUUUUCCCAUCUUUCUGGCCUCUUGCACCCAAGGAGGUGGGUGGGAGGGAGCAGAGGGGCCACAUCUGGCAUCUCUAAGUGUCUGGGCUUGUCUGAAAUUGGCAUAGGGCAGGACACCCCUCCCUCAGUGCAGUGCCGAGCUAGGUUCACUGUGGCCCCUCGUGGGAUAGGUGGCACCAUGAGCUGCUAAAUCUGGAAUCAGAGUAGCAGCCGUGUUAGUCUGUAUCCGCCAAAAAAAAAGGAGGACUAGUGGCACCUUAGAUAAUAGUUUCUAAGGUGCCACAAGUACUCCUUUUCUUUUUGUAGAUCUGGAAUUAAUCCCUCCAUGGUGAAGCUGAGCUCUUGGGCCAGCUCCACCGUCUGGCCAUGUGACCGCGGUCGAGUGGGCAGGAGGCAGCAGUCCCAUGUCCACGUAGUAACUGACCCAGCGUGCCAGGGCAUGUUCAGCCUGCUCCGGAGCCCUCGUGGGAGCAGGUCUGUGUCCUGGAGCCGCAGCAGGGGCCGGUGCUAACUCUUAGAGAGCUGGGUUCUUUUAGCAGGAGAAAAGCUAGAGAGAGGGGCCAGGUUACUUGGGGGAAGGGGGAGCUGGCAGCAGGGGCUGUAGGCUUUGUGGUAAGCUGGGAGGGGUCGUGGGGUCACGGGAGUAGGUUGAGCAGCUGGGAGAGGCAUAGAAAGGAGGUGCUUGCAGAUGUGUGGAUGCUGACCACCACCCCUGCAAUUAGCUUGAUGGAUCUUCCCUGUCUCCUUUCUCCUGUCCCUUCUGAUUUGUCACCCUAACCUAGUAGUCGUUCCCCCUGCUAAUCGCUCCCGCCCGACAUGGGGCUAGUCACACCGCUGUUCUCUAGCUAGGCCAUAGUUGUCCAUGACAUACGGCCAGGUAGGAGACCCACUGUUUGCCUGGAGGAGUUUACAGUGUCCUCGGCAUUAGGCCAGAGCAGUGCACGCAACAGACUGGGGGGGAUGUGGUGAUGAGCUCUCACAGUUAUAUAUGGCUAGUUGCAUGUGCUUCCAGGAGGUGGGGGUGGAGUUGCUAAGUCCCUGUCUCUCUGAGGGUUUUGUAAGAGGACUGUUUUUGAGGGGGGGAGGGGGAAUCUAUGGGGAGCAGGGUAAAGGAGUAAAGCCCUGGGAUGUGUAUCUGCAUUGGGUAACCCAGGAAGUGCAGUGAGAACGUCAUUGAGGGCUCAGGAUGGAUUGGCUGGUUACAUUCAAACAAACGUAAGGGAAUUUUACACGCUGGUGCAUUGCAACCCUCCAACAGCUGUAAGUGGGAGAGACUUUGCCCUGGGGGGGUGCGGGGGGACCUAUGAAUCGUCUUGUGCACAAGAUAUUGCUAGUGUUGAACUAUAUUGCUCUGGCCCCUUGAGAAGGGUUCUCAGCUGCCUCCUUGCUGUAGCUGACAGUGAUUCUGUGCAGUACCCACAAUGGACUCUGGCCCUUAAACCUCCUUGAGAGCACCGGGUCCCCCAUCUCUAGCCUGCCCUCCCCCCCCCCCCCGUGCCCCCCGUUGCAGGCUGACCUAGCUCCCUCCCACAUGGCCAUGAAUGCUGCUGCACCCCCAGUUGCGUGCUGGUUAAUCAGUGCUUGUAAAGGGCUUUAAAUAUGUAAAGCCCAGUGUCAAUGCUCAGUGAGGGGGUCACUGUCUCUGGGUUCUCUCCUCUCCCCAGUAGUUCUGCGCCCGCUUGAACUCUGAUCCCCUACAUACUCGUUCCAAGCCAGGGGCUAGUGCCAGCUUGUUCGCCCUCUAUUACUGCACAGCUGGUUCCAGCUCCUCUGCACUGAGGGUUGUUAGACUAUGAGGCUUUCACUGGCUCUUGUUUUUGUUGCUUGUAUUGUGGAGGCACUGUGCCAGGAUCAGGGCCUCUUGUGCUGCGUGCGGCACAGACACCAGGUACUGGGGACGCUAGCUUCACGUCCUUUUAAACUUUGAUUUUUCACUCAAUAGUUUCUUGCACCUCCCAUGUUUUAGGGCAGGUGAAACAAUAGGGAGUUAAAGGUUGGCCAGUUUGACUUGAAUUCCCUUCGGCAACUUUCUCCUCCCCUGAAAUGCUGGUUUGUAAUUUCCUACAACGGUAUGCCUGUUAUAGCAACAAUAAAUGAGGCUGGACUAGGGCUGAUCUAUUUCCCCGUCUUUCUGUAGUGGUGGAAAUCGAGCCAGAUUGGAUAAAGCUGUGCGAUAGCAUGGCCUGUAGUUGCAUGGGAAAGUACAGUGGAGAAUUUGUAUUAGAAUGUAGGAUUGAGAUUUGUACCAGCUACAUGAUAAUAAAGAAGUGACAAUCUAGUCUUCUGCCUUUCGUUAUUUUGCCAACCCACUUGGUCAAACAGCAGAGAGUAUUCUUGGCUCUUUCAUUUGCAGUUCUGGGUUGAAAUUUCAGACCUCAGAGGAACAUGUGGUCACAGACUACAGCACUGUGCCGAUGCCAGGGGUGUUUACAGGGCCCUCCCUUUAGGACUUGUGUCUCUACCGUGUUCAGACUGUUCAAUCGUAGUAGGAAUGUUUUUAAAGAUUGUGAAACCAUGCUAGUGAAAUGUUAGUUUGCUUGUAAACAUUCUUGCCUUCGUCUAACGGGGAGAACCAGAAGACGACUAGAAACAUGCAGGUGACUGGUCUCAGUGUAAAAUUUAACCAGCACCCAGGCUGAAAUGAAUGUGAUUUGAAGUAUGAUAAUCCGUUCUGAUAACUGAGAGGCUUCUCAGUAAGGAUCGGGCACAACCUUUCUGUCUCGCUGUAGCCCGUAGGGGCUGUGGGUGGUUCUUACAGAACUUGCUGCUCGGAAAACAUUGCCAUGGUGGCGGCAGUCUACCAGGAUGCGAAAACGUAACUUGUCCCGGUGGUUAGAGCAUGGCACUGGUAGGCGGCAGGCCUGUAAUCUGUGUCUUACCACGUGCACCUGUGUUCAUUUGUGCGCCCCUCUGCCUCAGUUUCCCUACUUCUGUAAAGUGCUUUGAGAUCAGUAAAUAAAGCAUAGACAAAGUGCUAGUCCUAAAAAGAAGACUCUCAGCACAGUGAGGGGUAUACGAAGAGCCUGUGGCUGCUGUCUUUCGAUAACUCAGGGUUAAACCAACCUGCUCAAACUCCUGGCGUUCGCUGAUGGUGAACCUGGCUCCCUGCUGCUGCUGAUGUUAAAGGCAGAGGAGCUGGCAACUGCUGUGGGCAUCUGUUUUUGGAAACCAGGUAUUUAUCUGUACCAGUUGGAUGCAGCCAUCUGCCUCUGGGAGAUGCAUGGUCUGAGCACCCCUCCUAGGGUACAGCAGAACUCAAACCCUUCACUGAGCAGCAAGAGAGCAAGCAGGGUGGGAAGGUGGCAGGCAGUGGGUUCGCCGGUGGAGAAUGCUGCCCUGAGUGUCUGCAGAGCAGCAAAGUCAAACCCAACACCUGACUGGCUGGAGACGAGCGAGACAUCCCUCCAGCCCCAAAACAGAAAGGGAAACAGCACCCACCACUUCUACAAAGCCGCUGCGGCAUAGCCCCCUGCCUGCUCUUGGGCGUGCUGCUAGAACUGUGCAUUCAGUUCCUGGAGAAUUGCUGUUCCCAUUCCCAGCAGGUACAGAGGAGGAAAUGGUAUUUGCCUCCACUGCAUCAGCCCUUCUCUUUACAGACCUGGUGCUUCUGAUGGUAUUUAUUUCCAACUGAGGUGCUUGCUCUGGUAUUUUCAUGAAGCCUGGCCUGCCCCCCCCCCUCCCCUUGCUGGCAAGAACAGAGUUCCUGGGGGGAGCUGUGUGUUAUGUUAGUACAGCCUUAGCUAGGACCCCCUUUUCUAAUGUGGGAUCGGCUUUCUUCUUGUCAGUGCUCUCCCUUCUUUAUGGAGGGCAGCAAUCCCGCCCUGCCUCUGGAAUCCCUUUAGUCUGACUUCCUGUGGACCAUCUCCCAUUCUCCAUCCAUAGAAUGAGCAUUCCUUAGGUGGGCGUCUACCCUAGGGCUCUUUCGACCCACAGGGGCAUCCCACAGACUUUUGCCCUGUGUCUGUCCCAUCCUUUGUAGACCACACUGUGGCCUUUUCCCCAACCAGCACCUCACAGUCUGAUGGUCUCUGCUCCCUGUUAGCUAUUAAGUCCUCCAGCAUCCACCUCCUCUCGGCCCCCAACUGGGGUUGGCUCUGUCUUUUCCUUUGGUUUGUCCUUGUAUAGGCCCCCUUUGCUCCUUCACCCCUUUCUCCAGCAUUUCCCACCUGGGCCGCACGUUCUGGGUUUGUUGGUAUUUGUCUAGGGUUUUUUCUCUGCCCUGGCAUUUCCAAUCUGGGCCUCACGUUUUUGGCUUGUGGGUCUGGGUCUUAUACUGACCCCUCUGUGUCUUACCAUCCAUUGAGGUUCCCUCCCGUGCGUGGCUCUUGAAGGGAAUGGGUUCCAAUCAGUCCCCACAACCAUGGGAUGGGGGGCCUGUAGCUCCUGCACAACUCUAUUGGGAUGAUGCCGCUGGAAAAGGCUUUCUGCCCCGUGUAUACACUCCAUUCCUAGAGCAUGUACCCGUCCCAAAACCACCGUGAUGUAACCAGCCUGCUCUGCAGGAGUGAGUAACUGGCCUCUGAAGAAACAACCCCAUCUCUGGUUGUCAGCCCACCCUUACUGGAAUAGUUUUUACUCCCUUCUGAGAGCUUUCCAUCACCCCAGUCUAGCCACAACGUUCCCCCAGACCACGUUCCAUCUCUGAGCUGUCCCACUUGAUGCCUUUUCCCCUGUGCUGCUAGCAGGUUAUAUCCUGUCUGACCAAGUGGCCUUCCUUUCUUCCUGUCUCACGCCUGCAGGUCAUACUGCUUGUGUUGGACAAGCUGCUUUUCUUUGCAAAUCUUGGAACGCUUCUCGGCCAAUUUUGACGUUGCCUCCAUUGUCUUUGGUUGGUGUCUCCAGACCCUCGUGGUCUCUGGAAGGCUCUGCGUAAUAUCACAGCAUCCAGGACUGCUUCCACAUCUUGCCUCAGCCAGUAGUUGGCCCAAUCUGUGCAAAUGCUCUGGGCCUUACCCCAGAUGUCCACCUGGCUGCCCUAUAUUUUUGCCAGUAUCUUUUGGACGACACAAACCUACAUGGUUCAAUAUAGCAGCAUUUAACACCUCAGAGUUCUUGGCCUGCUCUUUGCUCAAUGCCAGGUAAGCACUUGGGCUUCUCCCGACAGGUAAGGGCUAACUAUAUGCCCACAAAUCUUUACCCCAGCUCACACCAGCAGCAGUUCUUUUGAAAGUCAGUACAAAGGCACUGGGAUCCUCCCCGGGCCCAGCCCCCCUCCCCAGUGGCAGGACUUGUCAGAUUGUGUAAUACCUGCUGUUGUACGUGGGUCUGUUCCUUCAGGAACUCCGGAAGUAAGUGCCUGCUGUUUCUUUGCCUGCCAUCCCAGUGGGGCUUGGUGCUCUGCCUGCCUUUUCUUUCCAGGUUCAGCCUGUCCUCACACAGGCUGCCUCUCAAGCUUUCCUGGCUCUGUCCGGCAGAUGGAUCCCGGCCAAGCCCCCACCUGUGAAGCGGCUCUCCCUUCUGCUCCUGCCAACCUGCUCCUCCUCUAGCCAAACCCAGGACCCUGCGUGCUCGAAGUGACCGGUGGGCGGCUCCCAAAGGGCUCUCUUUACAGCUGCUAGCAGCGCCCAUCCCAAGGCAGAAUUUAAAAUACGGUUGUAAUGUUGUACAUAGCAACCAAGAUCCAUUGUCCUGCGUAUAGACUUUAAACAGUUACUCUAUGUUUCAGAGCAAAACUGCCCUUGGAAAAUUAGGUUCUACAGAAAGACUAAAAUCUAUUUAAUGUGUAAGGACAAUGUAGAAAAUGUCUCCCAAUUAACUGUAGCCGGGAUUUAAAAAAAAAACACAGCUCUUCUCCUGUACUGUACUGCUCUCAGGUCACCCACGCAUCUUUUCUCUCUGCUGAAGAACAUGUUACGUUUGGCAUCUCAUUCACCGUGUAGCCAGCUGCGGGUCGAGAGAAAGGAAAGGGUUGCGAGAGUCCAACUCCUUACUCUGGAAGAGCAGCUGUGUCUGCGGGGAGAGCCGUGCACAGCACGGAUAUGGAGGCCAGAACAGCUCCGGACUUCACACGCUGCACCUCCUCUAGCGUCAAAUGAGAACUACAGCAGAACCUCAGAAGUGGAAGUUGUCGGUAACGCUGACCAAGACGUUAUGGACUUCAGCCACUUCAGCAAGGCUUCUGACCCUUGGGAGCACCAUGGCUCGGGGCUUUAGACCUGGGGGGAGUGCUGGGGCUCCCCACAGCUCCACUCCUGGUUUCAGCUGCGGGGGGCGGGAAGCUCUGGGGUUUGGGGCUUUGGCUAUGGGGGGACUGCUGGGGCUGAAACUGGCGCGCCCCACGUCUAGGCCUCUCCUGGGGGGCUGAAGCUGUGCCCCCCUUCCCCCCCCAGUUGAAACCCUGAGUACCAGGGCUAAAGCCUCAAGGCAGUGAAGUAUUUGCUCUGUGUGUGUGUGUGUGUGUUUGUGUGUCUUUGAGGUUCUCCUGGACCCAGUUUGGAGCCGUUCCUACAUGGAAUCCUCUUGAAGUCAUGGGAUGCUGCCCUGGCACAUGCCCUUCCAGGACUGGGCCCAUACCCAGGCUGCACAGCCUCCUACAUAUCUGGCAACCUCCUUGCACCUCACUGCAGUGCCACUGGUUUCUUCCUCAGUGAGUAAGCCCAGCUGCCUCGGAGCUACUGGGGCACUGCCUCUGUCUGCAGACAGCCGACGUGCCUGCUCCCUGCCCUGCUGCAGGCUCACAGCUACUCCUGAGAAGCAAGACAAAAGGUAGGCAAGAAAGCGUAUGCCCUUGCAAUUCCUAGUGCCCCCAGCUGGCCUGACACUUGCCCUCAGGACAGCAUGGGAUGGGGGAGAGGCUCCUGCUGAUCUGUGAUGGAUUGGCUUGUCUCUCUCCAUUCCGUGCUUCCCUGCAGGCUUAGUGUCCUGGCUAAACCUUUACAGCCAUGGUUUUUAGGCAGACGUGCAAACUGCCACGAGCUACUGAAAAGCUAAGAGCACUAAACCCUUCUCUCAGCUAUUUGAGCUCUUCUCCCAACCCGGUCCGCUCCUAGUGCAAUCCUGAGGCUUGAAUCAAAUGGAAAACUCCAACGUAUAAACAUAACUUUUAUUGCACACGGCGCUGGGUUUUUUCAUAGAAAAAGGUAUUAACACAUAAGCAUUUGCAAAUCAAAGCAACUCCUGUUGUUUUCAGAACAGUAAACAGCAUGCAAUGUCUUUGAGAAUUUGCUUUUCAAAACCACCAAUAAUAUCAGGGGAAAAAAUCGCUGAGUCUCUUUGUGCUCCUUUCAAAAUGAUGUGAAAUAUAAGAUCACAUAUAUAUAUAUAUUUUAAAUCUGUAACAUCAAAUUCUUUGUGCCCUGGCUUCUUUUUCAGUUCUGGAGAAGAAGAAAAUAGUUUCAUUUAUACAAAAGAGUUCAUUAUGUACAAGAGUUUAUUUUAUUUCAAUAUAAAUAAUGCAGGAAACCAGCAGUUUCUUUUAAAUUGGUUUUCUAGUUUCCUACACAAGAGUGUAGGAUUUGGAGUACGCUCCAGCCCCUUGUUUUUGAGAUCUCCCUAUACCGGAUGUGCUCAUUUCUAGUAAAGAGUCUCUAGAGCCUCCCAUCUUGGUGUGUGUGGGCAUGCGUGGCUCAGCGCUGGCGGCAGGAGCGGGAUCGGCGGCAGGAGCAGAAGCGGCAGGAGCAGAAGCGGAGUUUGCCGAGACAGGCAUGGUGAGUGUUCUUUGAGGUAAAGUAGUUGUGGAGGAGCCCGGGUGUGGCAGGCCCAAAGGCUUGCUGCCUGGGUCUAGCGUCAUAUGCCUCGCUUGCGUGUGAUAAGCCCUGGCUAGGUUUCGGAUGGAGGCUUCCCUGGGCGGGACCACUGGACAAGGAUCGUGGAUGUCAGGCUUGCGGAAGAAUGCUUCUGAUUUCACGUACAAGGGAAGGUUGCAGUAAUCGCCUGCAGGGAACAAAGACAGAGGUAAGGUGCUCGAAACGCCUAGCAGUUUCGCAUAGAGCGUGGGAAGCAAGAGUAACGACUGACCCCUGCGUGUGCCUGACGACAAGCACCCGUUUGUCUUUCGCUCUUCAUAGGUCUCCUCUUUUUACUCAGGCACAAAUGGUUUGUGGUGUGUGCUUACACGCCAGGAACCUUGCUCUGCCUUUGCGCUUUUCUUAUCAGGAUCAGAGAGGAAAGAUCCCUGUUCUUUAUGUGCGCCACGAUUUGAUACUCUCAUCUCUGAGGAUGAUAAAGGACCCAUGCUAUAAAAAGAGGAAGUAUCUAACGUAUGGCUGCCCAGUAACGGUGAGGAGACCCUGAGGGAAAGUAGUGUUGUCAGGAGGAAAGCGAAGGUUGAGACCUGAGGUGCCUCUGCUGCUGAAAUGCAAUUGAAAUAGUGAUGGGGGAAGAAAGAUGCUGGAGUUUAGUUUUGUUUGUUGGGACUGGAGUCCCGUUCCGCCCAGGGGCUUCGUGGCUGAGGUUCGAGAGGAUCAUUUCAUUCUAGCUUCCCCCAGCCCAGCAGCUGUCAGUGGAGGGGUGGAGAGAAGGAAACCCAUGCCCCACGGGAACAUCACUGCAAAGGCAGAAGAGCGGUCUAGGACAGUAGGUGACCCUUCCUGAGACUGUAGAUAAUGAAGUAAUGCAAAUGCAGGUGGCUCCUAUACAGAUCACAGCAGAUUCAGGCCUGGUGAAUGCUAACGGUGGAGUGAUGGUUAUAAGAUAAGAUAAUACCAACCCUGGCCCAGAAAUGAAUUCUCUAGAGUUCAGCACCCGAAGGCGUCUAUAGCUCGCUCACAAACAGGUAAAACAAAGCUGGCCACCAUCUCUCAGCAACUUGGAAUGGCAUGAGCCCUAGAUGGAAAAGCAUUGCACGGAGCUAGCAAGGCAGCAACAGUGUCCAUAGGAUCCAAAGGUCAGUCCCUGAAUGCACAAAAUAAAGGGGAGUGUGCUGUCCCGGUGGGGGUGGGAAGCUAGUGGCUUAUCUAGCCCAGCUCCCUGUGAAUGCAGGGUUGAGUCCAUCCACUAACAAUUAAUAAGACUUUGUGGGCUAUCCAUCGGGAUAAACCUCUGGUGGUGAGAUUCACCUGUGUCCCCACUCAGCCAAACCAAAUCAUUUGCUCUUCUAGGGUCCAAUUCUACAAAUAUUUACGGAUGGGGGAGUAAUAUCUGCAGGGUCCCCUUGAGCUCACAGAAGGUGGGGGAUUGUGGGUGGCAGCGUUUGCGGGACUGAGCUCUUAGCCUUGCCGCAUCACUGGACUGCUCCUUAGAAUUUCAGGAGUGAGGACUGAAAGCAGCACCCAAUGCAUAAUAACACAAACAGUAAAUUACCAGGGAUCAUCUGUGUAUAGUAAUCCUUAUAACAGACCUGUAAGGCUAGUAGGGAGAAAGGAAAGUGGGCUUAGUAAGGGUUGAUCACAGUGUGAACCUGAAGGCUCUAAGGUAGCUGCUGGAAAGGAUUAUGUAGGUGUGCGUGAGCUAGAGGACAGCAACAGGGUCAGUGGCCCUUGACUCCUCUCGAGAGCAGAAGCUCUGUCUAGUUGUCAUCCAUGCUUCAGUUUGUCCUUAGAAGGGCCGAGAGCGUAGUGGGGUAAAACUGAUAUGACACGUUCUGUGGUAAGUAAUCGCUUCCCUCUCUGAGCUCAUGAGCCCUUAAAGACUGGGAAAUAGGGAUUAAACUCUUGUGUAAAAUAAGCCUUGUUUUUUGUUGUAGCUACCCAAAGAAUUGUGGAACAAAAAUGGAGGAGACAGUAGCAGCAAAUUUAGGUGAGCGCUCACAUUGCAGAUGUGGCCAGACACAGCAGGGCUGCUUGAAAACGAAUCUCGAGGAAGGCCGUGUGUGCGCUCUACGGGAUGACAGUGCCAUGCUGAGCACUAGCCCUCAGGGGCUGGGACCUCAGUGGCUGUAAUAGCCAUGCUGCAGCCUUGCUCCUGCAUGGGUGACGGGGGCGCUCUUAGCCAUCGGAAGGAUACUUACUCUUGUUAGCUCUGUGUGGGAUGGGCACUGCCACGUUCUUGCCUCUGUCGCUGUCCUGCGGCUUGGGCGGGGAGGCGGUGAACCUGCAGAUGCCUGGCUCGGACGGGGUGCUCAUGGAGGUCAUGCUGUCUGCGUUCUCAUUGGUCCCUGUGGUCAUUUGGUCGGAAGAGCUAUCUGAGAUGAAGCACUCUGUGAUCUCGAACUUGGCAUGCUGCAAUUGCUCCUCGAGCUUGGCGUGCUCAUAGGCCCGUGCCAGCUCCUCGUAGGUGGAUGAGGCGCUCUCCGUAGACACCAUGCUGUUCCGCCCUUUGUCUGAAAACAAGUAAGAACAAAGAGGCGUUCUUACACCUGGAAAAGACUAUGAAAGGCCGAUGCCUCAUCUCCAUCUUGUCUUCAAUCCUGCUUCUGACUGCUGGAGGGACUUUGCUACAAACGGAAGCUCUACACAAAGGACGGAUGACCCAUCUCAGCUGUGGAUAGACUCCAGAGACUUGAUUUGAACUUGCAGUUUAUUCUAUCACAGCUACAAGCCUGAACCAAGAACUUUGCCAUUACUGUAUGUAAUUGAUUCCAUUUAACCAGUUGUAGCUCUCAUCAAUAUCUUUUCCCUUUUCUAAAUAGAUCUUUAGAUUCUAAAGGAUCGGCAACAGCGUGGUUUGUGGGUGAGAUCUGAUUUGUAUAUUGAUCUGGGUCUGGGGCUUGGUCCUUUGGGAUCGAGAGAACCUCUUUUCUUUUACUGGGGUCUUAGUUUUCAUAACCAUCUGUCCCCAUAAUGAGUGGCACUGGUGGCAAUGCUGGGAAACUGGAGCGUCUAAGGAAAUUGCUUGUGUGACUUUGGUUUUACCCCGCUGGCUAACCACAAGUCUUGUCUGGUUGGUUGGUUUGGUUUGCCUUAGAGGUGGCAAAACCCCAGCCUUUGGCUCUAACUGACUUGCUUGAAGCAAUUUGUUCUGAAUUGGCACUCUCAGUUGGGUCCUGCCAGAACCAGCAUCAGUACACUAUGCAACGUGGCUCUGUCUAGAAGAUACCAUCAGGGAUGCUUAGUUUUGCAGUUCUCAAACUGUAGAUUUGUGCCUCCAGAGAUAACAUGCUUGUGCACAAAGAAAUAGAGGGGAGAAAAAAAUGAGACCUCAACUCUAUUGUCCCUCUGCAAAUUGGUGUACACAGAGUCAAUCCCUAACCUCUCUCAGAAAGUUCAAUGAACAGCAGAUUGUUGAGGGUGGAAUAGAUCUGGACAAAGAGAAGAGAGGGAUGGGCAGUAGAAGCAACAGUUACACUAUUUGGGCAGCAUAGUCUGGAAGUGUUGAGGUCUUUCUGAGUGUAGUCUUCAUUGAUUUGAGAUCUACUGUACCAUCCUUUCACUAGAAGGGAAAACCUGCUAUGCUGGGAGGCUGUAAAAGAGAUCCAGUUUGGGGUUAUUGUAAUGAAGUCCCUCUACCUGUGGACAAGACAGGCAUGUAUGCGAAAUGCAAGGCCUGCUUGCCUCACUGAAACAACGUCAUGAGAAGAGGGCCUCAUCCUCCCUGAUUGAACUAACCUCAUUAUCCCUAGCCUGAUUCUUGCUUGAAUAGUUAUACCUGCCUCUGGAAAUUUCCACUACAUGCAUCCGAUGAAGUGGGUAUUGACCCACGGAAGCUCAUGCUCCAAUGAGUCUGUUUGUUAGUCUAUAAGGUGCCACCGGACUCUUUGCUGCUCUCAUGAGAAGUGUUUCUUCUGAGGCAGAAGCUCUGUUGAAGAUGAUGAAAGGAACAUGCAGGAUCUUCAGGUUGGUAAACUUUUCUAUUUCAUAUUUCUUUUGUAAGGACUGCCUGUCUUCCUUCCGGACUAUUCUUGAAUUCUCGUGUUUGAGCAAGCAAUAUAGUUAUGCUAAAGGUGAAAUUGUAAAAGGAAGAUCUGUCUAUUUCAGUGGUUUGUUACCUAAAAUGAUUGAUAGUACCAGAAAGUGUCAGUGAAUGCAAUGAGUAACACUAAAUGAUUAUGAUGAUAAUUAAUAAAGAACUGCAUUGACUUA